This is a long non-coding RNA of Rosa rugosa (rugosa rose), 1130 nucleotides long. RefSeq lists it as uncharacterized. The record is from RefSeq and is a predicted model, not a curated record. The transcript has 3 exons. NCBI's taxonomy places the organism in Eukaryota, Viridiplantae, Streptophyta, Magnoliopsida, Rosales, Rosaceae.
AGAGCCAUAGAUCCUAGGCGUCUCACGAUCCUGUAUGUCAUGGACGAUGGACCAAGUCAUCGUCACCCACACAUGACACACCACCUCUAUUCUUCUCUCAAACCCUUAUCCCACAUCCACUCCAUUUUCCAGAUCCAACCUCGUAUCAACACUUCCUCUGUUUCUGAUGCAUGAACGACCACAACAGCAAAUGGGUACCAGCAGAGGAUUACCCUCAAGCGCUGGAGAUUUUGAAAGCUGCCCUUGCAAACUGUGAAAUGGUGCACAGAGCUGAAGCUAAGCAGAAAUCAAUACCCCGCUUCCAAGCAGACCCAGAAAGCUGAGAAGUCGUUAAGUACAGUCUGCCUGGAGACCCAAUUGCUAGACAACACCAUGACAGGGUAAUACACUAGUGAAUCAAGCAGCUAUGGAUGUCUUGAAUCAAGGCCUGGUCAUCCAAAGUAGAAGUUUUCCAGUCUCCAUGGAAGCGUUACACUGACACUAUAGAGAGAUAGACAACUUGUGUUUCAAGCAACUUUGGGAUGUCUUGAAUCAUGGCCUGGUCAUCCAAAGGAUUUUCGCCAUCGUCCAACCUCUGGCUCCAAAGAUCAUGACCGAGGAUCCUCUGAAUUUGUACCUUCAGAUUAUAGACUGUAUCAGUCAACAACAUGUCAAUUACUGUCAAGAUGUCAGACGAUCCUGGCCUCAUGAUAUGUAAACCGAUCUUCACUGGAAGCAUCUCAGGUGCGUUUUGAUUUGCAGCAGAGUCAUCCCUAUAUUAAACACAAGACAUAUAACUGAGAGUCUUAAGAUACAUAUUACUGCAGUAACUACACUUAAAAAACAAAUUCUAUACACAUGUAAAUGAUGUUUUACUUGAGUUUGAUUGUGUUUUUUGGAUAGCAUUUUGAUAUUCCAGCAACAGAACCAAGGUAUUUCCAUGAGGAAGAGAUCCACAGCUUGGUCGAUAGGAAUAAAAGAAUGCUUGGGCAACUUUGGGGACUUUACAGAUAUGUUGCAUAGUUGUUGGUUUUGGGAUAUCUUGAUUGAUUUACCUUUGAUCAUGUAUGCAGUCUACGCAUAUUCCUCUGAUAAUGAUGUUUAACAAUGUGUUUCCAAUACUGUAUUUCUUAAGACUAUUUUUUCUCUUC